This 262-nucleotide long non-coding RNA is filed under the name Malus domestica (apple). Its description in RNAcentral is "long non-coding RNA (MDOM_LNC000288)". Lineage: Eukaryota; Viridiplantae; Streptophyta; Magnoliopsida; Rosales; Rosaceae. The record is from RNAcentral.
GUUAAUCAUGUUCCUAAAAUUUAAAUAUAUAUGAUAUAUUAAUUUUGGAAAUGAAAAGAAUACUUCUUCAUUAAAGUUAUAACUUUAAAACAUUAUAUGAAGAUAGAAUGUAUAUGGGAGUUAAUCAUGUUCCUAAAAUUUAAAUAUAUAUAUGAUAUAUUAAUUUUGGAAAUGAAAAGAAUACUUCUUCAUUAAAGUUAUGACUUUAAAACAUUAUAUGAAGAUAGAAUGUAUAUGGGAGAUAUAGUCUAUAUACAUGGGA